This 253-nucleotide ribosomal RNA is filed under the name uncultured bacterium. RNAcentral describes it as "partial 16S ribosomal RNA". It matches the Rfam family "Bacterial small subunit ribosomal RNA", at positions 524 to 776 of the family's 1533-position model. The record is from RNAcentral.
UACAGAGACUGCAAGCGUUAUUCGGAUUCACUGGGCGUAAAGGGUGCGCAGGCGGCCAAGUGUGUUAGGCGUGAAAGCCCCGGGCUCAACCUGGGAAUUGCAUUCGAGACUGUGUAGCUAGGGUACGGAAGAGGGAAGCGGAAUUUCAGGUGUAGCGGUGAAAUGCGUAGAUAUCUGAAGGAACACCAGUGGCGAAAGCGGCUUCCUGGUCCAGUACCGACGUUCAGGCACGAAAGCGUGGGGAGCAAACAGG